CAUCCUCCAAGGCUAAAUACUCCUGACUGACCGAUAGUGAACCAGUACCGUGAGGGAAAGGCGAAAAGAACCCCGGCGAGGGGAGUGAAAAAGAACCUGAAACCGUGUACGUACAAGCAGUGGGAGCACAGGUUUACCUGUGUGACUGCGUACCUUUUGUAUAAUGGGUCAGCGACUUAUAUUCUGUAGCAAGGUUAACCGUAUAGGGGAGCCGUAGGGAAACCGAGUCUUAACCGGGCGUUAAGUUGCAGGGUAUAGACCCGAAACCCGGUGAUCUAGCCAUGGGCAGGUUGAAGGUUGGGUAACACUAACUGGAGGACCGAACCGACUAAUGUUGAAAAAUUAGCGGAUGACCUGUGGCUGGGGGUGAAAGGCCAAUCAAACCGGGAGAUAGCUGGUUCUCCCCGAAAGCUAUUUAGGUAGCGCCUCGUGAAUUCAUCUCCGGGGGUAGAGCACUGUUUCGGCUAGGGGGCCAUCCCGGCUUACCAACCCGAUGCAAACUGCGAAUACCGGAGAAUGUUAUCACGGGAGACACACGGCGGGUGCUAACGUCCGUCGUGAAGAGGGAAACAACCCAGACCGCCAGCUAAGGUCCCAAAGUCAUGGUUAAGUGGGAAACGAUGUGGGAAGGCCCAGACAGCCAGGAUGUUGGCUUAGAAGCAGCCAUCAUUUAAAGAAAGCGUAAUAGCUCACUGGUCGAGUCGGCCUGCGCGGAAGAUGUAACGGGGCUAAACCAUGCACCGAAGCUGCGGCAGCGACGCUGUGCGUUGUUGGGUAGGGGAGCGUUCUGUAAGCCUGUGAAGGUGGCCUGUGAGGGUUGCUGGAGGUAUCAGAAGUGCGAAUGCUGACAUAAGUAACGAUAAAGCGGGUGAAAAGCCCGCUCGCCGGAAGACCAAGGGUUCCUGUCCAACGUUAAUCGGGGCAGG
RNAcentral lists this ribosomal RNA (926 nucleotides) under Salmonella enterica subsp. enterica serovar Mbandaka. Its description in RNAcentral is "partial 23S ribosomal RNA". It matches the Rfam family "Bacterial large subunit ribosomal RNA", at positions 454 to 1378 of the family's 2925-position model. RNAcentral also lists the same sequence under 1 other name. The record is from RNAcentral. Lineage: Bacteria; Pseudomonadati; Pseudomonadota; Gammaproteobacteria; Enterobacterales; Enterobacteriaceae.